GCUACUGUGGUGUAGUGGUUUGAUUAUUAGAUUAGGACUCUGGAGACCAGGGUUCAAACCCCUGCUCAGCC
This 71-nucleotide transfer RNA is filed under the name Phrynosoma platyrhinos (Desert horned lizard). Its description in RNAcentral is "tRNA-OTHER". Lineage: Eukaryota; Metazoa; Chordata; Lepidosauria; Squamata; Phrynosomatidae. The record is from RNAcentral.